AUUGAACGCUGGCGGCAUGCCUUACACAUGCAAGUCGAACGGUAACGGGCCUUCGGGUGCCGACGAGUGGCGAACGGGGUGAGUAAUGCAUCGGAACGUACCUUUCAGUGGGGGAUAACGUAGCGAAAGUUACGCUAAUACCGCAUAUUCUGUGAGCAGGAAAGCAGGGGAUCGCAAGACCUUGCGCUGAUUGAGCGGCCGAUGUCAGAUUAGCUAGUUGGUGAGGUGAAGGCUCACCAAGGCGACGAUCUGUAGCGGGUCCGAGAGGAUGAUCCGCCACACUGGAACUGAGACACGGUCCAGACUCCUACGGGAGGCAGC
RNAcentral lists this ribosomal RNA (321 nucleotides) under uncultured bacterium. RNAcentral describes it as "bacterial SSU rRNA". It matches the Rfam family "Bacterial small subunit ribosomal RNA", at positions 30 to 352 of the family's 1533-position model. The record is from RNAcentral.